Long non-coding RNA from Danio aesculapii, 660 nucleotides. RefSeq lists it as uncharacterized. The transcript has 2 exons. The record is from RefSeq and is a predicted model, not a curated record. Lineage: Eukaryota; Metazoa; Chordata; Actinopteri; Cypriniformes; Danionidae.
AUACAAUAACUGAUAGAAUGUUUGUUUAUUUAUUUAUUUAUUUAUUUACGUACUAAGCAAAAAAAUGUUAGUCACUAAACACAUUUAGUCAUAUGCAGGAGGGCCUAUUCAAGCUAGAUAUUUAAUGACAGUCGAUAACAGGAAGUUAUUUUCAGUCUGUCCUGUAGAAAGUGUGCAGUUCUUCUUCCGCUCCGCUAGAGGCGCAAGAGACCUCACGUUCAGCACGAGACUCACCUUUUGCUCUGUAAACAACACGACGCUUGACCACAGUCAAAACAAAGCUUUCUGACCGUUUUGAAGAUAUAAAAGUAAAUUUCCUGCAGGUGACAGUCAGUGAGAGCCUUUAAAUGUCAUUUAUCAGCACACAUUUCAGCCCUUCAGGCAAAAACACGCGACUAUCCCCGGAUGAAGUGCAGGAAUGCUGGACACUCCAUCACCUAUGAGCUUGUGAUUCAUUGAACACAGCUGGCAGAUCCUUUAUGGUUCAUCAGUCCUCAUGUCAGUCUGAUCAACUGCUUCUGAGCUGGACCUGAGAGAGACAUCUAGUGCUCAGUGCUGAAAUUACAGCUCAUUCACAAACAAAUGAGUGGAAUAUUGUCCCAGGUAAGGUAAAAAACACAAUCAUCAUGACAAUUGUAAAUAAACUUUUUAUUAAGAAUA